RNAcentral lists this ribosomal RNA (253 nucleotides) under uncultured bacterium. RNAcentral describes it as "partial 16S ribosomal RNA". It matches the Rfam family "Archaeal small subunit ribosomal RNA", at positions 474 to 727 of the family's 1478-position model. The record is from RNAcentral.
UACCCGCAGCACAAGUGGUGGUCAUUAUUAUUGGGCCUAAAGCGUCCGUAGCUGGCCUGUUAGAUGCCUGGGGAAAUCGAUGCGCUCAACGUAUCGAACUCCGGGUAGACCGGCAGGCUUGGGACCGGGAGAGGCGUGAGCUACUCGAGGGGUAGGGGUAAAAUCCUGUAAUCCUUCGGGGAGGACCAGUGGCGAAGGCGUCACGCUAGAACGGCUCCGACAGUGAGGGACGAAGCCCUGGGGCGCAAACCGG